Molecule: ribosomal RNA, 497 nt
Filed under: uncultured bacterium
Lineage: Bacteria
Description: partial 16S ribosomal RNA
Rfam family: Bacterial small subunit ribosomal RNA
Source: RNAcentral
AUGAACGCUGGCGGCGUGCCUAAUCCAUGCCAGUCGAGCGAACAGACGAGGAGCUUGCUCCUCUGACGUUAGCGGCGGACGGGUGAGUAACACGUGGAUAACCUACCUAUAAGACUGGGAUAACUUCGGGAAACCGGAGCUAAUACCGGAUAAUAUAUUGAACCGCAUGGUUCAAUAGUGAAAGACGGUUUUGCUGUCACUUAUAGAUGGAUCCGCGCCGCAUUAGCUAGUUGGUAAGGUAACGGCUUACCAAGGCAACGAUGCGUAGCCGACCUGAGAGGGGGGGGCCGCCACAUGAGAUCUGAAACCGGCCCACGCCCCUCCGGGGAGAAGGAGGAGGGAAAUUUUGCGAAAGGGGGAAAGGCCAGGCGGAGCAGGGCCGGGGGAGGGAUGAAGGUUUUCGAACCUUAAAACUCUUUUAUGGGGAAAAAAAAAGUGUAAAAGAAACUGGUCACUUCUUGACGGUACAAAAUAAGAAACCCAGGGCUAGCUACGAG